RNAcentral lists this ribosomal RNA (1431 nucleotides) under metagenome. RNAcentral describes it as "bacterial SSU rRNA". It matches the Rfam family "Bacterial small subunit ribosomal RNA". The record is from RNAcentral.
AGAGUUUGAUCCUGGCUCAGGAUGAACGCUGGCGGCGUGCUUAACACAUGCAAGUCGAACGAUCCUUCGGGAUAGUGGCGGACGGGUGAGUAACGCGUGGGAAUCUGCCCUUAGGAGGGGGAUAACGGCUGGAAACGGCCGCUAAUACCCCAUAUGCCGAGAGGUGAAACGAAUUUCGCCUGAGGAUGAGCCCGCGUCUGAUUAGCUAGUUGGUGGGGUAAAGGCCUACCAAGGCGACGAUCAGUAGCUGGUCUGAGAGGAUGAUCAGCCACACUGGGACUGAGACACGGCCCAGACUCCUACGGGAGGCAGCAGUGGGGAAUUUCCGCAAUGGGCGAAAGCCUGACGGAGCAACGCCGCGUGAGGGAUGAAGGCCUCUGGGCUGUAAACCUCUUUUCUCAAGGAAGAAGAACUGACGGUACUUGAGGAAUAAGCCACGGCUAAUUCCGUGCCAGCAGCCGCGGUAAUACGGGAGUGGCAAGCGUUAUCCGGAAUUAUUGGGCGUAAAGCGUCCGCAGGCGGCCUUGUAAGUCUGUUGUUAAAGCGUGGAGCUCAACUCCAUUUAAGCAAUGGAAACUACAAGGCUGGAGUGUGGUAGGGGCAGAGGGAAUUCCCGGUGUAGCGGUGAAAUGCGUAGAUAUCGGGAAGAACACCAGUGGCGAAGGCGCUCUGCUGGGCCAUAACUGACGCUCAUGGACGAAAGCCAGGGGAGCGAAAGGGAUUAGAUACCCCUGUAGUCCUGGCCGUAAACGAUGAACACUAGGUGUCGGGGGAAUCGACCCCCUCGGUGUCGUAGCCAACGCGUUAAGUGUUCCGCCUGGGGAGUACGCACGCAAGUGUGAACUCAAAGGAAUUGACGGGGGCCCGCACAAGCGGUGGAGUAUGUGGUUUAAUUCGAUGCAACGCGAAGAACCUUACCAGGGUUUGACAUCCUGCGAAUCCCUUGGAAACGAGGGAGUGCCUUCGGGAGCGCAGUGACAGGUGGUGCAUGGCUGUCGUCAGCUCGUGUCGUGAGAUGUUGGGUUAAGUCCCGCAACGAGCGCAACCCACGUCUUUAGUUGCCAGCAUUCAGUUGGGCACUCUAGAGAGACCGCCGGUGAUAAACCGGAGGAAGGUGUGGAUGACGUCAAGUCAUCAUGCCCCUUACAUCCUGGGCUACACACGUACUACAAUGCUACGGACAAAGGGCAGCAAGCUCGCGAGAGUUAGCAAAUCCCAUAAACCGUGGCUCAGUUCAGAUCGUAGGCUGCAACUCGCCUACGUGAAGGAGGAAUCGCUAGUAAUCGCAGGUCAGCAUACUGCGGUGAAUACGUUCCCGGGCCUUGUACACACCGCCCGUCACACCAUGGAAGUUGGCCAUGCCCGAAGUCGUUACUCCAACCCUUGUGGAGGAGGACGCCGAAGGUGGGGCUGAUGACUGGGGUGAAGUUG